UAAAGAGCUCGUAGGCGGUUUGUCGCGUCUGCUGUGAAAACUGGAAGCUCAACUUCCAGCCUGCAGUGGGUACGGGCAGACUAGAGUGCGGUAGGGGAGAACGGAAUUCCUGGUGUAGCGGUGGAAUGCGCAGAUAUCAGGAGGAACACCGAUGGCGAAGGCAGUUCUCUGGGCCGUUACUGACGCUGAGGAGCGAAAGCGUGGGGAGCGAACAGGAUUAGAUACCCUGGUAGUCCACGCCGUAAACGGUGGGUGCUAGCUGUGGGCCACAUUCCACGUGGUCCGUGACGAAGUUAACACAUUAAGCACCCCGCCUGGGGAGUACGGCCGCAAGGCUAAAACUCAAAGGAAUUGACGGGGGCCCGCACAAGCGGCGGAGCAUGCGGAUUAAUUCGAUGCAACGCGAAGAACCUUACCAAGGCUUGACAUAUAGAGGAAAAGUGCAGAAAUGUACUCCCCGUAAGGUCUCUAUACAGGUGGUGCAUGGUUGUCGUCAGCUCGUGUCGUGAGAUGUUGGGUUAAGUCCCGCAACGAGCGCAACCCUCGUCCUAUGUUGCCAGCACGUAAUGGUGGGAACUCAUGGGAUACUGCCGGGGUCAACUCGGAGGAAGGUGGGGAUGACGUCAAAUCAUCAUGCCCCUUAUGUCUUGGGCUUCACGCAUGCUACAAUGGCCGGUACAGAGGGCUGCAAUACCGUAAGGUGGAGCGAAUCCCAAAAAGCCGGUCUCAGUUCGGAUUGAGGUCUGCAACUCGACCUCAUGAAGUCGGAGUCGCUAGUAAUCGUAGAUCAGCAACGCUACGGUGAAUACGUUCCCGGGCCUUGUACACACCG
This 832-nucleotide ribosomal RNA is filed under the name uncultured bacterium. RNAcentral describes it as "bacterial SSU rRNA". It matches the Rfam family "Bacterial small subunit ribosomal RNA", at positions 561 to 1392 of the family's 1533-position model. The record is from RNAcentral.